Molecule: ribosomal RNA, 737 nt
Filed under: uncultured bacterium
Lineage: Bacteria
Description: bacterial SSU rRNA
Rfam family: Bacterial small subunit ribosomal RNA
Source: RNAcentral
ACUUGACGUUGGUUUACCAGCGGAGGUGGCGGACGGGUGAGUAACAACGUAGGUAACCUGCCCCAAAGCGGGGGAUAACAUUUGGAAACAGAUGCCAAUACCGCAUAACAAUUUGAAUCGCAUGAUUCAAAUUUAAAAGAUGGCUUCGGCUAUCACUUUGGGAUGGACCUGCGGCGCAUUAGCUUGUUGGUAGGGUAACGGCCUACCAAGGCUGUGAUGCGUAGCCGAGUUGAGAGACUGAUCGGCCACAAUGGAACUGAGACACGGUCCAUACUCCUACGGGAGGCAGCAGUAGGGAAUCUUCCACAAUGGGCGCAAGCCUGAUGGAGCAACACCGCGUGAGUGAAGAAGGGUUUCGGCUCGUAAAGCUCUGUUGUUAGAGAAGAACGUGCGUGAGAGCAACUGUUCACGCAGUGACGGUAUCUAACCAGAAAGUCACGGCUAACUACGUGCCAGCAGCCGCGGUAAUACGUAGGUGGCAAGCGUUAUCCGGAUUUAUUGGGCGUAAAGCGAGCGCAGGCGGUUUGAUAAGUCUGAUGUGAAAGCCUUUGGCUUAACCAAAGAAGUGCAUCGGAAACUGUCAGACUUGAGUGCAGAAGAGGACAGUGGAACUCCAUGUGUAGCGGUGGAAUGCGUAGAUAUAUGGAAGAACACCAGUGGCGAAGGCGGCUGUCUGGUCUGCAACUGACGCUGAGGCUCGAAAGCAUGGGUAGCGAACAGGAUUAGAUACCCUGGUA